UGGGGAAUCUUGCGCAAUGGGCGAAAGCCUGACGCAGCGACGCCGCGUGGGUGAUGAAGGCCUUCGGGUUGUAAAGCCCUGUGGAGCGGGACGAAAGCUUCGGGAUGAAUAAUCCCGGGGGGUGACGGUACCGCUUUAGCAAGCACCGGCUAACUCUGUGCCAGCAGCCGCGGUAAUACAGAGGGUGCAAACGUUGCUCGGAAUUACUGGGCGUAAAGCGCGUGUAGGUGGUUUCGCAAGUCAGGUGUGAAAGCCCGAGGCUCAACCUCGGAAGUGCACUUGAUACUACGGAGCUGGAGUCUUGGAGAGGAGAGCGGAAUUCCCGGUGUAGAGGUGAAAUUCGUAGAUAUCGGGAGGAACACCAGUGGCGAAGGCGGCUCUCUGGACAAGUACUGACACU
This 400-nucleotide ribosomal RNA is filed under the name uncultured bacterium. Its description in RNAcentral is "bacterial SSU rRNA". It matches the Rfam family "Bacterial small subunit ribosomal RNA", at positions 355 to 747 of the family's 1533-position model. The record is from RNAcentral.